AUACGGAGGGUGCAAGCGUUAUUCGGAAUCACUGGGCGUGAAGGACGCGUAGGCGGGUUGGCAAGUCAGAUGUGAAAUCCUACAGCUUAACUGUAGAACUGCAUUUGAAACUGCUAACCUAGAGUAUGGGAGGGGGAGAUGGAAUUAGUGGUGUAGGGGUAAAAUCCGUAGAUAUCACUAGGAAUACCGAAAGCGAAGGCGAUCUCCUGGAACAUAACUGACGCUAAGGCGUGAAAGCGUGGGGAGCAAACAGGAGUAGAAACCCCUGUAGUCC
Molecule: ribosomal RNA, 274 nt
Filed under: uncultured bacterium
Lineage: Bacteria
Description: partial 16S ribosomal RNA
Rfam family: Bacterial small subunit ribosomal RNA
Source: RNAcentral